UGGGGAAUAUUGCACAAUGGGGGGAACCCUGAUGCAGCGACGCCGCGUGAGGGAAGAAGGUUUUCGGAUUGUAAACCUCUGUCCUCUGUGACGAUAAUGACGGUAGCAGAGGAGGAAGCCACGGCUAACUACGUGCCAGCAGCCGCGGUAAUACGUAGGUGGCGAGCGUUAUCCGGAAUUACUGGGUGUAAAGGGAGCGUAGGCGGGGGAACAAGUUGAAUGUUUAAGAUAUGGGCUCAACUCAUAUAAGCGUUCAAAACUGUUUUUCUUGAGUGAAGUAGAGGUAAGCGGAAUUCCUAGUGUAGCGGUGGAAUGCGUAAAUAUUAGGAGGAACACCAGUGGCGAAGGCGGCUUACUGGGCUUUAACUGACGCUGAGGCUCGAAAGCGUGGGUAGCAAACAGG
RNAcentral lists this ribosomal RNA (403 nucleotides) under uncultured bacterium. RNAcentral's name for it is "bacterial SSU rRNA". It matches the Rfam family "Bacterial small subunit ribosomal RNA", at positions 355 to 776 of the family's 1533-position model. The record is from RNAcentral.